Long non-coding RNA from Thunnus maccoyii (southern bluefin tuna), 642 nucleotides. RefSeq lists it as uncharacterized. The record is from RefSeq and is a predicted model, not a curated record. The transcript is spliced from 3 exons. Lineage: Eukaryota; Metazoa; Chordata; Actinopteri; Scombriformes; Scombridae.
AGAGUGGACUUUCUUCUUCUUCUUCUUCUUCUUCUUCUUCUUCUAAGGAAUUCCCGAGAGGCUGUACACUGAAAAGCAAUGCUUUCCUCCAAAGACAAGGGUUCCUUGAUAUUUCCCUGGAAGUUAUAGCAAGUAGCGGGGGUAAAGGGGAUAUGACGUCAUUGACAGGCGACCAAAUGAAACGGACCCGUCCGUCAGAAGAGUCCAUCUGCAGACCUCCCUCCCGAAGCUCCUAGUGCUGUGAGCCAAUGGGGUUUGAGCAGGAGUAGUAGGUUUCUGUUGUAUGGAGUAAACUUUCACUUAUUUCACUUUAGCAGUCCACCAAAAUCUGCUUCUGUACAAAUUUGAGGCGAGAAAUAAGCAAUCCAGUUGCUAAAUCUCAACUCAUAUUAGAUCUACAAGGUUUGUUCCCACUUUAAGACAGGAGCACUACUGCACCGCCGGGUGGCCACUUCUUUCUCUCUUGUCAGUGCUUCAGUAAGCUUGUAGGGACACCGGAGCGAAGCAGAGCCCCAAAUUACUACACAUAUGGGCCCAUCUCACAAAGGAUUACAAGACAUGCCGGAUUUUGGAAAUGUUAUGAAGACUGAAGAAAGAUUAACCUGUUAUGUAAUGUUUGAAUAAAAUUGUUUGGAACCAUUA